Long non-coding RNA from Salvelinus sp. IW2-2015, 864 nucleotides. RefSeq lists it as uncharacterized. NCBI's taxonomy places the organism in Eukaryota, Metazoa, Chordata, Actinopteri, Salmoniformes, Salmonidae. The record is from RefSeq and is a predicted model, not a curated record.
UAGAAACGGCACUGACUGUGUUACCACAGAUAAUAUGGUUCUUAUCAAUACGUUGACCAUGUUCAUUUCUUUCAGGACCACACCAAUCUCCAGUCCAUUCACAAUGUUAGACUCCCUCAGCUCCUCAGCCAAGCAUAUAAUGCAACAAGCACAAGAUGUUGUGAAGAAAUUAUCUCCUGCGAGACCAGAUGACCUGCAAUGUAGAAGGAAACUUUUAUAGGGUUACGAGGACUGAGUGACUACCAUACUGUCUCACACACACAUCUGUGUGGUUCGGAGACUGUUUCUAUCCAUAGGCAUUGUGGGUACUGAAUAGUGGACUGAAUGGCUGACACACAUAGGCCUGCUGGUUAUUGUAUAUAUAAAUACAGUAUGUAAAUAUAGUAAAUAUAGUUUGUAGUUGGUUAAUGAUGAAACAUGAUAAAUCCACACUAGACUUGUUCGUGGUUUUAUUCUUCACUUUUUUAUAAAUCAAAUGUUGUAUAUUAUAGUCUACACAAUGUCAUAAUGUAGACUACUUUAAUGGUGUGUGUUAUGAUAUUAUAGACUACACAAUGUCAAAAUGUAGACUACUUUAAUGAUGUGUGUUGUGAUAUUAUAACCUACACAAUGUCAUAAUGUAGACUACUUUAAUGGUGUGUGUUAUGAUAUUAUAACCUACAUAAUGUAGACUACUUUCAUGGUGUGUAUGUUUUUGUUUUCUUCACUUUUUAUAAAUCAAAUGCUGCAAUAUUCUCAAUGUUGUGAUGUCCUUUGUGUGUUUGUUUUCUACUUUUAUUAAUAAAAUGUUCAAACAAUACUGUAAUGUAUGUUGUGACAUCGCUUGUUAUACAAUGUGUCAUAAAUCUGCUGCUGGCAAUGCUU